Long non-coding RNA from Lactuca sativa (garden lettuce), 784 nucleotides. RefSeq lists it as uncharacterized. NCBI's taxonomy places the organism in Eukaryota, Viridiplantae, Streptophyta, Magnoliopsida, Asterales, Asteraceae. The record is from RefSeq and is a predicted model, not a curated record.
UUGUCAAGAGCAUAUGCCACAGUGAGUCCCAAACUUGAUGACAGUGCAUCGUUUUACACUAUAUUUAGGAACUUGCAAUUCUUUUUCUAAGCAGAAUCUAAUCGUGGGAAAGAGAGAGUGGUACAUAUUGAUCGAGGACUUUUAUCAAACAGGGGCACCGAGUUCUAAUUGCGGUGUUGGAAUUUUAUUGUGAGCAAUUUCUCCGCUUAUAUGAUGCCCCAAAAUUCAUCUCACGUGCAGACGUGGUUAAUACCCGGCCUGAGGUUGAGGCAAAUGGGCUUCCGGAAGGAAACGCAUCUAUUUACCAAUAAGUUGAAUGCCAGAGUUCUGCAAUCAGGACAAUUAGUGAUGUGGAGAUUGAAAGGUUACUUACUGCUUUGCCCUUGCUAAAAUCUAAUAUAAGAAAGGAAGGCUCUAUUACUCCAAUAUAUAACGGUGUCAAGAACUGAGAAAAAUGGACCAACUGAAGUUAAAUGCAAAGAUAAAGAUGAUGAUUUGUCCAUGAACACAGCUGAAGAAGGAAACAUGAUCACUUUGUUUUUACAACAUAUGUCCAUGGCUCAUCUUGAUUGCUCUACUGCCAUGCCAUAUGCCAUCUGUUGGUGGCUUUGACUUUUCAAGUAAAAAUGGUAAACUGUAAUGCAAUAAGGGUUUGAGUUUUCAUUUUGCAUUAUGAUUUAUUUACACACAGUUGGAUUGAUCCCUGCUUUCAUUUAUCUUGGUUGCAAGGAAAACAAAGCUUCAUUGUCACUGAUAAUCUUCAUAUCAAGGAUUUUGUAGGUUA